Suricata suricatta (meerkat) is the source of this 268-nucleotide long non-coding RNA. RefSeq lists it as uncharacterized. The transcript has 3 exons. Lineage: Eukaryota; Metazoa; Chordata; Mammalia; Carnivora; Herpestidae. The record is from RefSeq and is a predicted model, not a curated record.
GGACAGGACCCUGAACGGACCCCAGGUACAGGCCAUGUCCUGCAGCUCUAUGCAAAGACAUCUGCUUGUCUCUCACUGUACUUGGCUCUACAAGGACCUUGUUUACUUUCUUGUUUUCUUUGGAAGGCUUUCAGGACAUGUCACCCCAAAAAUGUGCCACUUUGAUGUAUUAAUUACUUUGAAAUGAAGACACAUGAAAAAGAGUGCACUGGACCCAAGACGUUCCAGAGUCACCAGCGCCGCCCUGAAGGAGGCACCAUCACCACAG